RNAcentral lists this ribosomal RNA (557 nucleotides) under uncultured bacterium. RNAcentral's name for it is "bacterial SSU rRNA". It matches the Rfam family "Bacterial small subunit ribosomal RNA", at positions 102 to 694 of the family's 1533-position model. The record is from RNAcentral.
ACGGGUGAGUAACACGUGGGAACCUACCUUCUGGUACGGAACAACCAAGGGAAACUUUGGCUAAUACCGUAUACGACCUCCGGGUGAAAGAUUUAUCGCCGGAAGAGGGGCCCGCGUCCGAUUAGGUAGUUGGUGGGGUAACGGCCUACCAAGCCGACGAUCGGUAGCUGGUCUGAGAGGAUGACCAGCCACACUGGGACUGAGACACGGCCCAGACUCCUACGGGAGGCAGCAGUGGGGAAUAUUGGACAAUGGGCGCAAGCCUGAUCCAGCCAUGCCGCGUGAGUGAUGAAGGCCUUCGGGUUGUAAAGCUCUUUCACCCACGACGAUGAUGACGGUAGUGGGAGAAGAAGCCCCGGCUAACUUCGUGCCAGCAGCCGCGGUAAUACGAAGGGGGCAAGCGUUGUUCGGAAUGACUGGGCGUAAAGGGCGCGUAGGCGGUUCGUUGCGUCAGAUGUGAAAGCCCCGGGCUCAACCUGGGAACUGCAUUUGAUACGGGCGGGCUUGAAUCCAAGAGAGGGUGGUGGAAUUCCCAGUGUAGAGGUGAAAUUCGUAGA